RNAcentral lists this ribosomal RNA (459 nucleotides) under uncultured bacterium. Its description in RNAcentral is "partial 16S ribosomal RNA". It matches the Rfam family "Bacterial small subunit ribosomal RNA", at positions 338 to 795 of the family's 1533-position model. The record is from RNAcentral.
CCUACGGGUGGCAGCAGUGAGGAAUAUUGGUCAAUGGGAGAGAUCCUGAACCAGCCAAGCCGCGUGAGGGAAGACGGCCCUAUGGGUUGUAAAUCUCUUUUGUCGGAGAACAAAACCCGGGACGUGUCCCGGACUGCGUGUAUCCGAAGAAAAAGCAUCGGCUAACUCCGUGCCAGCAGCCGCGGUAAUACGGAGGAUGCGAGCGUUAUCCGGAUUUAUUGGGUUUAAAGGGUGCGUAGGCGGUCCGUUAAGUCAGCGGUAAAAUUGCGGGGCUCAACCCCGUCGAGCCGUUGAAACUGGAAGACUUGAGUGUGUUUGAGGUAGGCGGAAUGCGUGGUGUAGCGGUGAAAUGCAUAGAUAUCACGCAGAACUCCGAUUGCGAAGGCAGCUUACUAAGCCAUAACUGACACUGAAGCACGAAAGCGUGGGGAUCAAACAGGAUUAGAUACCCCAGUAGUC